UGAAAUAGUGAAAGAGGUGUUCAAUAUAAAACACAUUCUUUCAAAUCAAGAUGAGUCGGAAAACCAACUGGGCGACUCACUGAGAAGAUUGGAGUCGAUGGCAUUGUCUAUUGAAAUCCUAAAGGAAACUAUGAUUGGCAGAAAUGUCAAAUGCUUGCAGAAGCACAAGU
This is a long non-coding RNA of Cryptomeria japonica (Japanese cedar), 170 nucleotides long. RefSeq lists it as uncharacterized. The record is from RefSeq and is a predicted model, not a curated record. Lineage: Eukaryota; Viridiplantae; Streptophyta; Pinopsida; Cupressales; Cupressaceae. The transcript has 3 exons.